RNAcentral lists this unclassified non-coding RNA (380 nucleotides) under uncultured Oligoflexales bacterium. RNAcentral's name for it is "contains 16S-23S intergenic spacer region". The record is from RNAcentral. Lineage: Bacteria; Pseudomonadati; Bdellovibrionota; Oligoflexia; Oligoflexales.
UCUCGGCUUAUCACCGGCAGUCCCCUUAGAGUGCCCAACUGAAUGCUGGCAACUAAGGACAAGGGUUGCGCUCGUUGCGGGACUUAACCCAACAUGUCACCACACGAGCUGACGACAGCCAUGCAGCACCUGUCACUUGGUCGUAUUGCUACGAAAGACGUAUCUCUACGUUUGUCCAAGGAUGUCAAACCCAGGUAAGGUUUUUCGCGUUGCUUCGAAUUAAACCACAUGAUCCACCGCUUGUGCGGGCCCCCGUCAAUUCCUUUGAGUUUUAGUCUUGCGACCGUACUUCCCAGGCGGGGUACUUAGUGCGUUAGCGCCGGUUCGGCAGGGGUCAAGACCUACCAAACCUAGUACCCAUCGUUUACGGCGUGGACUAC